ACUUACCUUGCUCAGAGGUUAAAGUGUCUGCCUAGAAGGCAGGAGACCAGGGUUCUAUCCCUGGGUCGGGA
RNAcentral lists this transfer RNA (71 nucleotides) under Ovis aries (sheep). It matches the Rfam family "tRNA". Rfam says of the family: Transfer RNA (tRNA) molecules are approximately 80 nucleotides in length. The record is from Rfam by way of RNAcentral. Lineage: Eukaryota; Metazoa; Chordata; Mammalia; Artiodactyla; Bovidae.